This 1172-nucleotide ribosomal RNA is filed under the name Acinetobacter sp. RB11. Its description in RNAcentral is "bacterial SSU rRNA". It matches the Rfam family "Bacterial small subunit ribosomal RNA", at positions 34 to 1198 of the family's 1533-position model. The record is from RNAcentral. Lineage: Bacteria; Pseudomonadati; Pseudomonadota; Gammaproteobacteria; Moraxellales; Moraxellaceae.
CGAAAUGGCGGAGGCUUACACAUGCAAGUCGAGCGGAGAGAGGUAGCUUGCUACUGAUCUUAGCGGCGGACGGGUGAGCAAGGCUUAGGAAUCUGCCUAUUAGUGGGGGACAACAUUUCGAAAGGAAUGCUAAUACCGCAUACGUCCUACGGGAGAAAGCAGGGGAUCUUCGGACCUUGCGCUAAUAGAUGAGCCUAAGUCGGAUUAGCUAGUUGGUGGGGUAAAGGCCUACCAAGGCGACGAUCUGUAGCGGGUCUGAGAGGAUGAUCCGCCACACUGGGACUGAGACACGGCCCAGACUCCUACGGGAGGCAGCAGUGGGGAAUAUUGGACAAUGGGCGCAAGCCUGAUCCAGCCAUGCCGCGUGUGUGAAGAAGGCCUUAUGGUUGUAAAGCACUUUAAGCGAGGAGGAGGCUACUUUAGUUAAUACCUAGAGAUAGUGGACGUUACUCGCAGAAUAAGCACCGGCUAACUCUGUGCCAGCAGCCGCGGUAAUACAGAGGGUGCAAGCGUUAAUCGGAUUUACUGGGCGUAAAGCGCGCGUAGGCGGCUAAUUAAGUCAAAUGUGAAAUCCCCGAGCUUAACUUGGGAAUUGCAUUCGAUACUGGUUAGCUAGAGUGUGGGAGAGGAUGGUAGAAUUCCAGGUGUAGCGGUGAAAUGCGUAGAGAUCUGGAGGAAUACCGAUGGCGAAGGCAGCCAUCUGGCCUAACACUGACGCUGAGGUGCGAAAGCAUGGGGAGCAAACAGGAUUAGAUACCCUGGUAGUCCAUGCCGUAAACGAUGUCUACUAGCCGUUGGGGCCUUUGAGGCUUUAGUGGCGCAGCUAACGCGAUAAGUAGACCGCCUGGGGAGUACGGUCGCAAGACUAAAACUCAAAUGAAUUGACGGGGGCCCGCACAAGCGGUGGAGCAUGUGGUUUAAUUCGAUGCAACGCGAAGAACCUUACCUGGCCUUGACAUAGUAAGAACUUUCCAGAGAUGGAUUGGUGCCUUCGGGAACUUACAUACAGUGCUGCAUGGCUGUCGUCAGCUCGUGUCGGGAAGAUGUUGGGUUAAGUCCCGCAACGAGCGCACCCUUUUCCUUAUUUGCCAGCGAGUAUUGUCGGGAACUUUAAGGAUACUUGCCAGUGGACAAACUGGAGGAGGCGGGGGACCACGUCCAGUCAAUCAUGC